RNAcentral lists this long non-coding RNA (535 nucleotides) under Nicotiana tabacum (common tobacco). Its description in RNAcentral is "long non-coding RNA (NTAB_LNC019207)". The record is from RNAcentral. Lineage: Eukaryota; Viridiplantae; Streptophyta; Magnoliopsida; Solanales; Solanaceae.
GCAUAUACUUGAAAUAAACUUCAACAAAGAAAUAUACUUUGUGUACUAUCUAUAGUAAUAAAACACUGUUGGUUCAAGAAGUUCACUAGCAAAAACCUCGACAAAACCAAAUGUAUUCAUAUUUAUAGUAUCAAUAUAAAAAAAUAAACAUCACAAUUGUUCAAACGGUCUUCACCAUUCACUUUAAUGAAUCAAAUUGAUUUGUGGCCACUAUUUCCAAUUGCAUCACCGGUAUUUUCCUACACAUUCAAAAUAAAUUAAAAAUUAGAAAGAAACAAAUAUAUAGUAUGCACUGAUUAUAUCUUACUAAGAACUAAUGAUAUUUUAUUUCACUACUAUAGCAUAACAAUGUCAAACACAAAAAAGAUAUACAAGUGAAAGAGAAGCAAAAUUGUGAAUUAACAUACAUUUUACCUAUCUCCUUCUAUAAUCGCAACAAUCAACAUAACCACCCAGCAUUACGUUGCACAGAAUUACAGGUGUACUAUUUGGUGAAAUAUAAAUACAUUUUCAAGACUUGGGGCAUGAGUUGAGC